UGCGUAGGCGGCUUGAUAAGUUAGAAGUGAAAAUCCUGCUUUCAAGGUGGGAAUUGCUUUUAAUACUGUUGAGCUUGAGUGCAGAAGAGGUAAGCGGAAUUCCAAGUGUAGCGGUGAAAUGCGUAGAGAUUUGGAAGAACACCAGUGGCGAAGGCGGCUUACUGGGCUGUAACUGACGCUGAGGCGCGAAAGCGUGGGGAGCGAACA
RNAcentral lists this ribosomal RNA (207 nucleotides) under uncultured bacterium. RNAcentral's name for it is "partial 16S ribosomal RNA". It matches the Rfam family "Bacterial small subunit ribosomal RNA", at positions 568 to 774 of the family's 1533-position model. The record is from RNAcentral.